This is a non-coding RNA of Arachis ipaensis, 1492 nucleotides long. The record is from RefSeq and is a predicted model, not a curated record. Lineage: Eukaryota; Viridiplantae; Streptophyta; Magnoliopsida; Fabales; Fabaceae.
AACUUUGAGGGGAAGGGGGUUUUGCCUCACUAAAAUACCCAGACCAAAUUUAUUUUGUGCCAUAACCUUCAAGUAUUUGGCGUGAGAACCCUUCGUCAGAGCCAAGGUAUAGCCAUCACUGGUCUCCUUUCCCGCCGUCCUUACCCUUCCCUUUGUCAGAUCCAACUGAGUCCGCUCCAUCGUUGUUCCGGUCACCAGGCUCCUCCCUCAGCCGUGUAGCUCCCGUGCACGAAGGUAAAGUAGAAGGGGUCGUCGGAGUCUUCUCCUUCUGCCGUGCAUGUGUGUGACGUCGUCGGCAUCAUCCCAAUCCAUCCGUCCCUGUGUCAUCCUUGGCAGCCUUCUCCCCUUUGGCGGUGCUUCGCGUUGCCGAUUGCAAAAGACUCCCCUCUCAGUGAUGGCGGCAGCAAAUUGCAUGCGGUUUCUCCAUCUGCUGCAAUUGUUCAAAAUAGCUGCGAUUGGCAUCCGAUUUCUUCAUUGUGACGCAGAAUCAACUGGAUUAGUGUCAAUUCAAUGAAAUUCUGCCGCAAACCCCAACCCAAUACUUUGAUUUCACCCUAAAUCACUUCAGUACCUAAAAUCAGAAAGAAGAAGAACCUGCGACAGGAGAGUGGAAGCGUAAGAACCCCUGUGCUCAAACACACCGUGCACCGCUGUGUCCCCGUGGAGUCGCGUGGCUACCAAUCCAACCUCCUCUCACCACCGUCGACCGUUCUCCUCUACUCUAUAGUGCGUGAAACCCUUAAUCCCUCAUCCUCGGUGUGCGUAACCCACCCCUGUUCUCGCAUCCACCGUGCACGUCUGUGCCAUCUCUGAGUUGCGUGGCUGCCCAGACGUCCUCCUCUCACCGUUGUCGACCGUUCCCCUCUCCUCCAACAAAUCUGAGUUAUCGUGGCCUCUUCCCUAUCACUGCCUCCAAAAAUUUAUCUCGCAAACAUGCCCUUUUUUCACCUGAUGUUAUCACUGUCGGUAAUCAAACUGAGGAUGCAGCAAAAGAAGGUAGCAAUUCAGGUUCUUCAUCUUCGAUGUUCCAUGGUGCAAAUGAGAAUAAAGCAGAUUGGAGAAUCGAGAGUGGUUCUUGUCUAUCUCCUCGGCCAGAUUACCAACAAAAGAAGGCAAGGCUCCUUUUCAUGCAAGAGGAGGUUGGUUUUCACUCCCUUUAACAUGAUUAGUUAAUUUAGGAUUAGCUAUAUGUUGAUUCUAGUCUUAAUUUGAUUUGGUUAAGAUUAUCUGCUAUUGUUAGUUGAGUUAAGGUUAGAAUUAGUGUUAGUUUAUACAUAAUUAAACAUGCUGUUAAGAGUUUCUUGAGUUUGAAUUUUAAUUUGUUUGGAUUGAUUGACUGAUACUUUGCUGAGUCCCUGUGAAAUGCUGCUAAUUUUUCAUGUAAUUGGUGCUGAAUUUUGAUUUGGUGUUGCAAAGAAUGCUUGUUAGUGUUAUUUUGUGUUAUUUAUGCUUUUGCAUGCCAAGUGUUCGACAAUAUGCCAAGUGUUUUGAA